UACGGAGGGAGCUAGCGUUGUUCGGAAUUACUGGGCGUAAAGCGCGCGCAGGCGGUCUUCCAAGUCAGUGGUGAAAGCCCGGAGCUCAACUCCGGAACUGCCAUUGAAACUGUUUAGCUUGAGGAUGAGAGAGGUGAGUGGAAUUCCCAGUGUAGAGGUGAAAAUUCGUAGAGAUCGGGAGGAACACCAGUGGCGAAGGCGGCUACCUGGACCAGCACUGACACUGAGGCACGAAAGCGUGGGGAG
This 246-nucleotide ribosomal RNA is filed under the name uncultured bacterium. RNAcentral describes it as "partial 16S ribosomal RNA". It matches the Rfam family "Bacterial small subunit ribosomal RNA", at positions 524 to 768 of the family's 1533-position model. The record is from RNAcentral.